RNAcentral lists this transfer RNA (76 nucleotides) under Prevotella sp. CAG:1031. RNAcentral's name for it is "transfer RNA-Lys(CTT)". It matches the Rfam family "tRNA". From Rfam's summary of the family: Transfer RNA (tRNA) molecules are approximately 80 nucleotides in length. The record is from RNAcentral. Lineage: Bacteria; Pseudomonadati; Bacteroidota; Bacteroidia; Bacteroidales; Prevotellaceae.
GACUCCGUAGCUCAGUUGGUAGAGCAAAUGACUCUUAAUCAUUGGGUCGAGGGUUCGAGCCCCUCCGGGGUCACAA